This is a long non-coding RNA of Heterocephalus glaber (naked mole-rat), 721 nucleotides long. NCBI's taxonomy places the organism in Eukaryota, Metazoa, Chordata, Mammalia, Rodentia, Bathyergidae. The record is from Ensembl.
GGGAGAUAGACCCUUCCAGGUCACUUGCCCAGUGAGCCACCUCCAACCAGGCCCCACUGCUAACAGCAACUCAGCUAUGAACUUAUCAGUGGAUUAACACAUAGGGAUCGAACUCAGGACAUUGCGCUUACAAGGCAGGCGCCAUAACCAUUGAGCUAAAUCCCCGGCCCAAGACUACUUUUGAAUGCACCAAAAGCUUCUGACUCACCAUGGCAACAUCUUCCUGCUGAAAGAUAAGAAUCUUGCCUCUAAGAAGUAGAAAAACUUGCAAGAGAAACCAACAGUAAGAUUUCUGGCCUGAGGCUCAGCAAACUUUUCUUUUCAUUAGCCCUCUCCUCCUCUGUAUUCAUUCCACAGACACUGAAUCUCCUGUGAGCCAUCUGGGGUCACACUAUGAACAAUACACAGUGAAAUCCCUGCCUUGUGGCCCUUCCAUCCUAUUAGGCAGAGACAGGCAGGAUUCAAAACAGCCUAAAGGUAACCUGUCUACAAUUUAUUUCCUGCACAUCCUCAUGUUUGGGCUAUGGUGAAGUGGAGAGGCCAACAACAGACCGCAGCAAUUUUGCUAGUCUCAGUUCUGCCAUCUACAUAUUGUGGGUUUAAGGCAGACCUUCAUCCAAUAUGAGCCUCAGUUUCCUCAUCUAUAAAAUGGGGAGGGAUUGGAUUAAAUGACUUAUUAAGGGAAAGGGUCCUUUUAGGCUCUUUUAUUUUUCAUGUUUUU